CAAUGAAGGAAGCAUCGUAAUAUGCACAGAAAUUGAAUUGGGUCUCUAGGCCUGUCCUCUUUGAUGCCAUUUGACUUUGAUUUGGGGGCAUGGUUUCACAGCAAAAUA
Rhododendron vialii is the source of this 108-nucleotide small nucleolar RNA. RefSeq annotates it as small nucleolar RNA snoR100. The transcript has a single exon. NCBI's taxonomy places the organism in Eukaryota, Viridiplantae, Streptophyta, Magnoliopsida, Ericales, Ericaceae. The record is from RefSeq and is a predicted model, not a curated record.